UGGAUAAAAGUGGCUCCCACGUGGUGGAGUUUUGUAGGUACCAUACGAAUAAGGACCGGGCUAAUUCCGUGCCAGCAGCCGCGGUAAUACGGAAAGGUCCCGGGCGUUAUCCGGGAUUUAUUGGGUUUAAAGGGAGCGUAGGCCGUGGAUUAAGUGUGUUGUGAAAUGUAGGCGCUCAACGUCUGACUUGCAGCGCAUACUGGUCCACUUGAGUGCGCGCAACGCGGGCGGAAUUUGUCGUGUAGCGGUGAAAUGCUUAGAUAUGACGAAGAACCCCGAUUGCGAAGGCAGCUCGCGGGAGCGCAACUGACGCUGAAGCUCGAAAGUGCGGGUAUCGAACAGGAUUAGAUACCCUGGUAGUCCGCACGGUAAACGAUGGAUGCCCGCUUUUCGGUCAUUAGACCGUGAGGCCAAGUGAAAACAUUAAGCAUCCCACCUGGGGAGUACGCCGGCAACGGUGAAACUCAAAGGAAUUGACGGGGGCCCGCACAAGCGGAGGAACAUGUGGUUUAAUUCGAUGAUACGCGAGGAACCUUACCCGGGCUUGAAUUGCUGGUGAACGAUACAGAGAUGUUGAGGUCCUUCGGGACACCAGUGAAGGUGCUGCAUGGUUGUCGUCAGCUCGUGCCGUGAGGUGUCGGCUCAAGUGCCAUAACGAGCGCAACCCCUCUCUUCAGUUGCCAUCAGGUAGAGCUGGGCACUCUGGAGACACUGCCACCGCAAGGUGUGAGGAAGGUGGGGAUGACGUCAAAUCAGCACGGCCCUUACGUCCGGGGCUACACACGUGUUACAAUGGGGGGUACAGAAAGCCGGCUGCCCGCAAGGUCAGUCCAAUCAAGAAAGCCUCCCUCAGUUCGGACUGGGGUCUGCAACCCGACCCCACGAAGCUGGAUUCGCUAGUAAUCGCGCAUCAGCCAUGGCGCGGUGAAUACGUUCCCGGGCCUUGUACACACCGCCCGUCAAGCCAUGAAAGCCGGGGGUGCCUGAAGUCCGUGACCGCAAGGAUCGGCCUAGGGCAAAACUGGUAAUUGGGGCUAAGUCGUAACAAGGUAAAUCACUGCCGUCGUAACUCAC
This 1074-nucleotide ribosomal RNA is filed under the name uncultured bacterium. RNAcentral describes it as "bacterial SSU rRNA". It matches the Rfam family "Bacterial small subunit ribosomal RNA", at positions 441 to 1533 of the family's 1533-position model. The record is from RNAcentral.